Molecule: ribosomal RNA, 254 nt
Filed under: uncultured bacterium
Lineage: Bacteria
Description: partial 16S ribosomal RNA
Rfam family: Bacterial small subunit ribosomal RNA
Source: RNAcentral
UACGUAGGGGGCUAGCGUUGUCCGGAAUCAUUGGGCGUAAAGCGUGCGCAGGCGGUCUGUUAAGACCGAUGUGAAAUCCCCGGGCUUAACCUGGGAACUGCAUUGGUGACUGGCAGGCUUUGAGUGUGGCAGAGGGAGGUAGAAUUCCACGUGUAGCAGUGAAAUGCGUAGAGAUGUGGAGGAAUACCGAUGGCGAAGGCAGCCUCCUGGGCCAACACUGACGCUCAUGCACGAAAGCGUGGGGAGCAAACAGG